GACGAACGCUGGCGGCGUGCUUAACACAUGCAAGUCGAACGAUGAACCCGGAGCUUGCUCUGGGGGAUUAGUGGCGAACGGGUGAGUAACACGUGAGUAACCUGCCCUGGACUCUGGGAUAAGCGUUGGAAACGACGUCUAAUACCGGAUAGGACCUUGGAUCGCAUGAUCUGGGGUGGAAAGUUUUUUCGGUCUGGGAUGGACUCGCGGCCUAUCAGCUUGUUGGUGAGGUAAUGGCUCACCAAGGCGUCGACGGGUAGCCGGCCUGAGAGGGUGACCGGCCACACUGGGACUGAGACACGGCCCAGACUCCUACGGGAGGCAGCAGAGGGGAAUAUUGCACAAUGGGCGAAAGCCUGAUGCAGCAACGCCGCGUGCGGGAUGACGGCCUUCGGGUUGUAAACCGCUUUUAGUAGGGAAGAAGGGCUUCGGCUUGACGGUACCUGCAGAAAAAGGACCGGCUAACUACGUG
Molecule: ribosomal RNA, 472 nt
Filed under: uncultured bacterium
Lineage: Bacteria
Description: partial 16S ribosomal RNA
Rfam family: Bacterial small subunit ribosomal RNA
Source: RNAcentral